Molecule: non-coding RNA, 314 nt
Organism: Erinaceus europaeus (western European hedgehog)
Lineage: Eukaryota; Metazoa; Chordata; Mammalia; Eulipotyphla; Erinaceidae
Source: Rfam
UGGCGCCCAACGUGGGGCCUUUUUGGGUCUGGGGUCCGAGAGAACGUCGCUCUCCACUGGUCGACCACGAAGCAUAGGACCACCGCUUCAACCAAGAAGUAAGUGAAGAUCCGCACUGUGAUCGCCACAGAAUCUCCUGUCUGUGAGACUGAUCUGUUUUAAGGUAAGAAAGAGUGACGCAAUUAUGGGACAAGCAUUGAGUAAACAUGAUUUGUUUCUUAGGGGCCUCAAAGAGUCCCUCAAGACACGAGGAACUAGGGUUAAGAAAAAGGAUCUCAAGAAGUUUUUUGAUUUUGUGAGCGAUGUUUGCCCAU